This is a long non-coding RNA of Aptenodytes forsteri (emperor penguin), 205 nucleotides long. RefSeq lists it as uncharacterized. The transcript is spliced from 2 exons. The record is from RefSeq and is a predicted model, not a curated record. Lineage: Eukaryota; Metazoa; Chordata; Aves; Sphenisciformes; Spheniscidae.
AAACCGCCGUAGUGCGGGUGUCCUUCGUGAGAAAAUCUGGAAGCGGACAUCCGCUUCCCGUAGCAGUUCAAACGUUUAAAGCGGGCCCAGUUGCAGCCCGGGCUGAAGAGACCAGAUACAAGACUGGCAAGAAUAAGUGGUUCUUCCAGAAGCUGCGAUUCUAAAGGUGUAACAAGUUGCAUCAAUAAAUGUUUAUUAAAAACCG